RNAcentral lists this non-coding RNA (27 nucleotides) under Mus musculus (house mouse). The record is from RNAcentral. Lineage: Eukaryota; Metazoa; Chordata; Mammalia; Rodentia; Muridae.
UAAGCUUCCUGCCUGCCUGCACACUGA